AGAGAGAGACAUGCGCGCAUAUCAAUAAGCGGAGGAAAAGAAACUAACAAGGAUUCCCCUAGUAACGGCGAGUGAAGCGGGAAGAGCUCAAAUUUGAAAUCUUGAAGGGUUUCCCUUUACGAAUUGUAGUUUAAAGAAGUGUUUUCUGUUGAGGUUUUGGUAAAAGUUCUUUGGAAUAGGACAUCAUAGAGGGUGAGAAUCCCGUAUUUGACCUUUACUUUCAACUUUGUGAUACACUUUCAAAGAGUCGGAUUGUUUGGGAAUGCAGUCCAAAAUGGGUGGUAAAUUUCAUCUAAAGCUAAAUAUUGGCGAGAGACCGAUAGCGAACAAGUACCGUGAGGGAAAGAUGAAAAGAACUUUGAAAAGAGAGUUAAACAGUACGUGAAAUUGUCAAAAGGGAAGCGUUUGACACCAGUGUUGUUUUUCUGAAAAUCAAUUAAAGAACUGUUUAUGCUAAGUUGUUUAGACUUUAUCAGCUAACUGUUUAGUUUUGAGCUUUUCUUUAAUGCACUUUUCAGUUAACAAGUCAACAUCAAUUUCUUUUGCUGUAAAAAAGCUUGAGGAAGGUGGCUUGAGAUUCGUCUUAAGUGUUUAUAGCCUCUUGCCUAUGCAGUCGGAGAGAUUGAGGUCUGCAGCGUAGAUCCUUCGGGGCUAAAUGCAUUUGUGCUAAGUUAUAGCAUUUUAUAGACAACUUGUUGACUAUGAUUUGUCUUGUAGCUUACUCGCUUAUGUUAUUUUACCUACGCUUAGGAUGUUGAGCGCAUGUCUCUCUCU
RNAcentral lists this ribosomal RNA (774 nucleotides) under uncultured Neocallimastigales. Its description in RNAcentral is "partial large subunit ribosomal RNA". It matches the Rfam family "Eukaryotic large subunit ribosomal RNA", at positions 23 to 616 of the family's 3401-position model. Lineage: Eukaryota; Fungi; Neocallimastigomycota; Neocallimastigomycetes; Neocallimastigales. The record is from RNAcentral.